UCAAACGCCUACAGAGGCUGCGUGGACACCAAGAAGCAAAGGUUCUCCAGUCUUCUGCUAGAGCUCCUCGUUGGCUCAGCCCAAGAGGAAUCCAGAGCAAGGGAACCCACUGAUCCUUUCCUUCGCAGUCUUGGCGUAAUCUAAUUCGGCAGACACUUGGGUUACUCAACAGCCAUCCUGCUUUGAUAAAAGAACCCUGAUUUUGUUCACCUUCCUUCAUUUGUCCAGCCCCAGCUUUGGGACUUCCCUGGUGGCGCAGUGGUUAAGAAUCCGCCUGCCAAUGCAGAGGACACAGGUUCGAUCCCUGGCCCAGGAAGAUCCUGCAUGCCGUGAGGCAACUAAGCUCGUGCGCCACAACUACCGAGCCUGCGCUCUAGAGCCCACGAGCCACGACUACUGAAGCCCGCACACCUGGAGCCCAUGCUCGGCAACAAGAGAAGCCA
Lagenorhynchus albirostris (white-beaked dolphin) is the source of this 443-nucleotide long non-coding RNA. RefSeq lists it as uncharacterized. The transcript is spliced from 4 exons. The record is from RefSeq and is a predicted model, not a curated record. Lineage: Eukaryota; Metazoa; Chordata; Mammalia; Artiodactyla; Delphinidae.